RNAcentral lists this ribosomal RNA (254 nucleotides) under uncultured bacterium. RNAcentral describes it as "partial 16S ribosomal RNA". It matches the Rfam family "Bacterial small subunit ribosomal RNA", at positions 524 to 776 of the family's 1533-position model. The record is from RNAcentral.
UACGAAGGGGGCUAGCGUUGCUCGGAAUCACUGGGCGUAAAGGGCGCGUAGGCGGCUCAGUAAGUCGGGUGUGAAACCCUCAGGCUCAACCUGGGGACGCCACUCGAUACUGCUGUGGCUAGAGUCCAGUAGGGGAGUGUGGAAUUCCCGGUGUAGCGGUGAAAUGCGCAGAUAUCGGGAGGAACACCAGCGGCGAAGGCGGCACUCUGGGCUGGUACUGACGCUGAGGAGCGAAAGCGUGGGGAGCGAACAGG